GCCGGAGUGGUGAAACUGGUAGACNNGACGCAGGGGACUCAAAAUCCCCCGAGGGCAACUUCAUGACGGUUCGAUUCCGUCCUCCGGCACCA
RNAcentral lists this transfer RNA (92 nucleotides) under Syntrophus sp. (in: bacteria). RNAcentral's name for it is "tRNA-Leu". It matches the Rfam family "tRNA". Rfam says of the family: Transfer RNA (tRNA) molecules are approximately 80 nucleotides in length. Their secondary structure includes four short double-helical elements and three loops (D, anti-codon, and T loops). Lineage: Bacteria; Pseudomonadati; Thermodesulfobacteriota; Syntrophia; Syntrophales; Syntrophaceae. The record is from RNAcentral.